CCAGGUAAAAAUCCAGCUAUUCUGACCCUCACCCAGGCCUGAGCCUGCCAAUCGGGAAUGUGACAAGCGUGUUGGUGGGAGGCUGGGCCUUCAGGGAGGGACAUCGUGUGCUUUUCAGCUUGUGAAGAAAUGUGAGGAUUCACUCUCCAUUUCCCAAGAUGCUCAAACAAGAGGAAAUCGGCUUACAUCAAGUGGAGACAGUUCAAGAGGCCCAGGAGCAGCCUGGCUGGCUGGUCAUAAUGUAUUCAAAUGCAAUUAAGUCCAGUGAAAAGAAGGAGGGAGGCUGAGGCCCGGGAAGGGCCACACUGUGGAGGACCAAGGUCAAGGCCUUCAGGGCACGUCCCCUGCUAGUGAGGAGAGGAGAAAAAAAAUCUACCUAAGAGAACAGUUUUGGAGGUUCAGUGGAAGGACGGGUUGGAAGGACCUUGGCUUUUAUUGUGGAAGGCCCAGAGACGGCACAUUUGUGUUUCUCAAUCAACAGAAAGUCAAAGGGACCCAUGUCUUACCUGAAGGAGCCGAGGUGAGAGCAGAUCCCUGAGACUCCUUCUAACCAGAGCUCCUGUUAAUUUUUUUUUUUAUCUCUAGUUUCUGUUUAUUGGCAGAACAGCCUUGGGCAAAUCUCUUCCCCUCUCAAGGACUCAGUUCCAGAUCUGUAAAGUCUGGGUAAGUUGAAUUAUCUUUAAAGUAAGCAGCAGUGAGCUUUCUUUUUUUUUUUUUUUAAUUUUUUUCAACGUUUUUUAUUUAUUUUUGGGACAGAGAGAGACAGAGCAUGAAUGGGGGAGGGGCAGAGAGAGAGGGAGACACAGAAUCGGAAACAGGCUCCAGGCUCUGAGCCAUCAGCCCAGAGCUCGACGCGGGGCUCGAACUCACGGACCGCGAGAUCGUGACUAGGCUGAAGUCGGACGCUUAACCGACUGCGCCACCCAGGCGCCCCAGCAGUGAGCUUUCUAAUAUGGCAACUAACAAUACCAAGUUUAGGGGCGCCUGGGGGGCUCAGUCGGUUAAGGGUCUCACUUCGGCUCAGAUCAUGAUCUCGUGGUUUGUGGGUUUGGGCCCCGCAUCGGGCUCUGCACUGGUGGUGUGGAGCCUGCUUGGGAUUCUGUCUCCCUCUCCCUCUGCCCCUCCCCCACUUGUGCUUGCUCGCGCGCUCUCUCUCUCUCUCUCUCUCAAAAUAAAUAAACUUAAAAACAAAAAUAAUGCCAAGCUAAAUACUGUAUUAAAUAUGGGGGCAUUGGUGACAGACAGUGAUAUCUACCCUGGACAAAGUGAGAAGUGGAAGGGUCAAGGCCCCGAGCAUAGAUCAUAUGGUACAGACCAGUGGGGGGCUGGAGACCUGGGCUAUGCUGGCGGACAUUGAGGUUCCUGGUUGAGGCCCUGAGUGAGGACUAGAAGGAGGCGGCUUGGUGUUGGGCAAAGGGGCUUUGGAUCCACACGGUCCUGGGUUUGUAUCCUAUGGUCGUUUACCUGUGUGAGCUCAGACAAGUUAGGGUACUGAACUACUUCAGACCUCGGUUUCCUUAUCUGUAAAAUGGAGCAGAUGAUGCCCAUUAUUCUACAGAUUUCUAGAACGUUCAUUCAAAGUGAUUGCUCCAACCCCACUGGACAAGCUUUUGAGGAGACAGGGUCUCCCUUAUCUCUAUAUCCCUGGUAACCAACUAGCCUAGCUCGUUUGGGCAGCUAGUUUGGCACGGGGGCUUAUUUGCCAAAUGGGACAGUAGCAUCAUGGAAUUAGUGUGAGGGUUAAAUAUGUGACAGAUGUUAAAUUCUCACCACGACGCCUAUUACAUGGCAGGUUCUCUGUAAAAAAACAAAUAUAUAAAUUCCUUCCCUUCUCUGUGCUACUACUGGCCAAGGGGCCCAGAGAUUCUCGAACUGACGGUUGUCAAACAGUUUAACAACUGGAUUCAUCAUAGAUGCUCGAUAAAUGUUCGCUGGACAGAAGGCAAGAUGUGCGUGGUGGGGAAGACCCAGGCCCUGUUUGGGACUUCUUGGUGGAAGUCCGGGGUCCUCAUGAAUGAGUCGAUGUUUCAGAGGGAAGGGGCAGACUUUUCCUUUAGUCAUUUGACUGACUGAGCCCCUGCAAUGUGCCAGGCACGGUCUUAGCGGUGGGAAGUCCUUGCCUGCAUAAAACUUAUAUCCUGGUGGGAAGCAGACAAGGAUAAUGCUAUAAGGGAAAAUAAAGAGGACCGGGGGACGAGAGUGACGAGGCACUGUGUUAGGUAGUGUGGCCAGGAAAGCUUCCAUGCAGAGGGGGCAUUUGGGCAGAUGCCUGGCAGACUGGGCUGAGGGAACAGCAGGUAGAAAGGUCCUGAGACAGGAGUCGCAGGGCCAAUGAGGAGGUCGGGGUGGCUGGCAUGGGGUCAGUGAGGGGAAGAGAAAGAUGGGAUGAAGUCAGAGAGGUCACGGGGGUGGGGCCCACAGCCUUGUAAGUCCUUUCACCACAGAGUGAGAUGGGAGCCAGUGGGGGGAGCUCCAGCAGAGUGCUGCAACUUGACUUUGGUUUCCGGUGCCUCUGUGAAGAUUCUGGUCGCCAAACUGUAAGGGCUGGGAGGCUCCCCUCACUUGGAAAAUCAUGAGUGGCUGGAAGGAAGAAGAGAGCAGGAGAAGUGAGAGAGGAAGCUAGUGCCCACUGGGCCGCCACAGACCCCAGGGCAGGGAAGCGUGGGAGGAGUGGAUCCUAGGGCAAGAGAGGCUGCUGGGCUGGCAGCGGGAGGGCCUGGGGCUUCUCUUUGCCCAUGGACCCAGUUAGCUGGCGCUAUGAUCUGGGGAGAAGUGGGAGGGAGGGGCGGUGUGGGGUUCUGGUUGGGAUAGUAGGGCACCUGGCUGGAAGACUGUCACCCUCUAGGAGGAAAGGGGACGAGAGGUGUGGAGAGCUCUGUGUCCGGCUUUAGCGUCCUCCUCUACUCCGGCAGAGCAUGGCUUCUCCCCACACCUCCCAGGCAGGUCCUCACUGCUCUUGGGUACCUGACCUUGCUGUUACUGGUGGAGUUUCUUAUCAAGGGAAGAGUUCAGGUGACCUUGAAUGCAGCGUUCGCCCUCCCUACGCUUCUUAGUAAAAGAAGGGGUUUAACUAGAUGGUCUCCAACCAAGCCCCUUCUAGCAUUUCUAUUAAUGGAUGGAAUCAGACACUACAUCUCUCCCACCUCCUUACUGCCAUGUGGUUUCAAGUUUCUGCCAUGCCCUCUAUCUUUCCUUUUCUCUCCAGGGCUGCCAUGUGUGAUGGUGGAGGGUGUUCACUGCACAAGGACACCCAGCCAAGGGAGUAAGUAGAGGCUCAGACCCGCCCAUGCCCUGCUUAACAAGCCAUGUGCCCUGUCUGGCUCAGGGUUUCAUUUACCCGGAGUAAAGAACACAUUUUUCUAGUCUGUCCCUGUCCCAUGCAGAGUCCUUCUUCUGCUCUUCUGGGUCCCUGUUCUCCGACCAUCACCAGUCUCCACCAGGGCAAAUCUGAGGGCGGCAUUUACACGAAGUGUACUGAGAGGGUGGACAGCAGCUGCCUCCCCUGUGAGGAACUCUGCCUCCUAAACCCCGUGGUGCUUUUCCUCUCCUUAUCAAUGCUGCGAGUUGCCUCUCGAAAUUGCUCUGCCGUCAUUAACACCGCGGAUUAGGUCAGAUGAGCGCGUGUGUGCAGUCUUAGAUGGCAAAGGCAAAGCGCUGAUGCUGAUUAUUCUAGAUCUUCUGGGCAUGGCCCAUUCCGUGCUCACAGUUCUUAAUCAGAGGGACGUGCGUUGGUUACGCGGCCGGGUGGGCCAGGGCCAUGGCUGGUUCUGAUGUGGCUGCCAGGCCCAGACAACACGUCUGCAGCACCUGCCGGCCUGCUGGCAUCACAAGUGACCUCAGUAGAAGAAAUGGCCCAUCGGAUGGCAUGCCUGCUGGCUGCUUUUGAACCAUCAGCAAUUCAUUUGAGCAAGGACUAUGAGCAUUUUGCCCUGGGCCUGAACACCAAGUUUUGUGUUCUGGGGCUCACUCUGUUGGCCAUGUGGCUGAGGGGUAUCUUCCAGACCCCCACUCCUGAAGUGCUCCCUUCUGAAAAGCUUCUGGAGGAGGAGGAGGAGGCCAAGACCUGUGGCCUUGCAUCAUGGCCCCCCACCUCCUGGCCUCCUGUUCUACCUCCACCACCUUCACCCUAGGCUCCAGCCACACCGCGGUCUCCCUCCGGCCCUUGAUCGCGCUGGUUCCCUGCCAGGAGUGCCCGCUUAGCCUUGUCCUGCAGGCAGAAGCUCGUCAUCUGUGGCAGCUGCUGUCCCGGCGAUGCCCUGACCUUUACCACUUCAGUAUGUUCCAGUCCCACAUCCGGAUGCCAGCACCUGCGUUUCUUUGCCUGGAGCUUUCUCUGGCCUCUGGAACCUGCAUGUGCCACUCUGUGCUGGGCAGAGGCCAGAAGUGCCAGGGAAUUCCCCCUCUCCCCCCAAACAGGAACCCCCAGCCACUGACAAAAGUUGGUGUAUACACACCCCUGCUCUCUCACCCCUGCGGCGGGCUAAUUCCAAGGCGUGUUCUGCCAGAGCUCCUCAGUGCGAAUGAGCCCUAGCUGCCCAGUGAUAACCGGCUUGAGAAACCACCCAGGAUUGCCCACUUACCUGUCUUACUUCCAC
This 4595-nucleotide long non-coding RNA is filed under the name Lynx pardinus (Iberian lynx). The record is from RNAcentral. Lineage: Eukaryota; Metazoa; Chordata; Mammalia; Carnivora; Felidae.